CCUCUGCAUAUUGCCAAAAUUUGAUGAUGAUAAAAUGAAGUUGUAGCAAGGAUUAACUUUUCUAAUCAGAUAUUGCUAUCUUCUUCUAACUUUUGUGCACAUUAUUAAUUAGGAAUUGCAUUUGUAUUUGAACUGCAGUUAGCUUCGACGCUCAAUAAGAACUCCAUUGGCAGCAAAGUCAGGAUUUCUAGGUUGGAAUUUAAGCCAAAGGGAGAGCUGUGAUUAUGCAUCGAUCAUUCUCAAAAAUGUAUGCGUCACCUCAAAAAAACAUAUCUUGACACUGGAGAUAAGAGUACUAUAAGAGGGAAUUGAUGGAGAGCUAGAUAACCAAGACCAUUACUCUCAAAAGGAGGCCUCUGUCAUUCUUUAAUGUGGACAAUCGAAAGUUGUCUUGCUGAGAGCUGAACCACGUAAAGAGUUACCAAGAUGGAAUUAGGCUCUCAGCUUCAAUAACUUUCUAUGAAGCGGUAGCUUAAAUUCAAGUUUCACAUAUAUUGCUUAAUAUAAAUAAAAUGUAUAGUUUAGAUCCAAAGUAUAUAUGAACUUAAACAUCUAUUUUAUUUUUUUUCUAUUAUAUAGAAAUGUGUAUGCAUUAAUAUA
This is a long non-coding RNA of Solanum tuberosum (potato), 600 nucleotides long. RefSeq lists it as uncharacterized. The record is from RefSeq and is a predicted model, not a curated record. The transcript is spliced from 2 exons. NCBI's taxonomy places the organism in Eukaryota, Viridiplantae, Streptophyta, Magnoliopsida, Solanales, Solanaceae.